RNAcentral lists this small RNA (5751 nucleotides) under Pongo abelii (Sumatran orangutan). RNAcentral describes it as "processed transcript". Lineage: Eukaryota; Metazoa; Chordata; Mammalia; Primates; Hominidae. The record is from RNAcentral.
CUGGGUGCCAGGCCCAGCCUGGGCCUCCCUUGUCGGGUGCUUGGGCCCCACUUCCCUCCCUGGGGAGGGGAGGAGAGGCCACCUCGAGGGAGUGACGUCAAGGCAGGGUGACAUUAGUCUGGGCCCACGGGAUCCUUGCUACUUCCCCAUUUUAUGGAGGGGAAACUGAGCCCUGGGUUCGACGGGGGAAGCAGUCACCUGAUGGGCAAGUGCUCUGAGUGGUGCAUGAAGGUGGCUGUCCGGGCGGCUGUCUGUGCUGUCGGUUAAUCCUCACGGCUUCCGGGAGUUAAAGGCCCAGCCUAAAACCGGGGUCAGGCACAGAACAGUGCUUUGGAGGGGAGCUCUGGGCACACCUGGCCCCUAGUGAGUGUGAAUUUGCGUCAGAGAGCUGUUGAGACCCACGGGGCCACCUUGAGGGUGCCGGGGUCUUCCCACGGAUUUCUCCACCCAGGUGAACUCCUCCCUCACCUCCCCGACGGGGCGAGGCUCCAUGGCUGCCCCCUCGCUGCACCCGUCCCUGGGGCCUGGCAUCGGCUCCCCGGGACAGCUGCACUCUCCCAUCAGCACCCUGAGCUCCCCCAUCAACGGCAUGGGCCCGCCUUUCUCGGUCAUCAGCUCCCCCAUGGGCCCCCACUCCAUGUCGGUGCCUACAACACCCACCCUGGGCUUCGGCACUGGCAGCCCCCAGCUCAGCUCACCCAUGAACCCCGUCAGCAGCAGCGAGGACAUCAAGCCCCCCCUGGGCCUCAAUGGCGUCCUCAAGGUCCCCGCCCACCCCUCAGGAAACAUGGCUUCCUUCACCAAGCACAUCUGUGCCAUCUGCGGGGACCGCUCCUCAGGCAAGCACUACGGAGUGUACAGCUGCGAGGGGUGCAAGGGCUUCUUCAAGCGGACGGUGCGCAAGGACCUGACCUACACUUGCCGCGACAACAAGGACUGCCUGAUUGACAAGCGGCAGCGGAACCGGUGCCAGUACUGCCGCUACCAGAAGUGCCUGGCUAUGGGCAUGAAGCGGGAAGCCGUGCAGGAGGAGCGGCAGCGUGGCAAGGACCGGAACGAGAAUGAGGUGGAGUCGACCAGCAGCGCCAAUGAGGACAUGCCGGUGGAGAGGAUCCUGGAGGCUGAGCUGGCCGUGGAGCCCAAGACUGAGACCUACGUGGAGGCAAACAUGGGUCUAAACCCCAGCUCGCCAAACGACCCCGUCACCAACAUUUGCCAAGCAGCUGACAAGCAGCUCUUCACCCUGGUGGAGUGGGCCAAGCGGAUCCCACACUUCUCAGAGCUGCCCUUGGACGACCAGGUCAUCCUGCUGCGGGCAGGCUGGAAUGAGCUGCUCAUCGCCUCCUUCUCCCACCGCUCCAUCGCCGUGAAGGACGGGAUCCUCCUGGCCACCGGGCUGCACGUCCACCGGAACAGCGCCCACAGCGCAGGGGUGGGCGCCAUCUUUGACAGGGUGCUGACGGAGCUCGUGUCCAAGAUGCGGGACAUGCAGAUGGACAAGACGGAGCUGGGCUGCCUGCGUGCCAUCGUCCUCUUCAACCCUGACUCCAAGGGGCUCUCGAACCCGGCUGAGGUGGAGGCGCUGAGGGAGAAGGUCUACGCAUCCCUGGAGGCCUACUGCAAGCACAAGUACCCAGAGCAGCCGGGAAGGUUCGCCAAGCUCUUGCUCCGCCUGCCGGCUCUGCGCUCCAUCGGGCUCAAGUGCCUGGAACAUCUCUUCUUCUUCAAGCUCAUCGGGGACACGCCCAUUGACACCUUCCUCAUGGAGAUGCUGGAGGCGCCGCACCAAAUGACUUAGGCCUGCGGGCCCAUCCUAUGUGCCCACCCGUUCUGGCCACCCUGCCUGGACGCCAGCUGUUCUUCUCAGCCUGAGCCCUGUCCCUGCCCUUCUCUGCCUGGCCUGUUUGGACUUUGGGGCACAGCCUGUCACUGCUCUGCCUAAGAGAUGUGUUGUCACCCUCCUUAUUUCUGUUACUACUUGUCUGAGGCCCAGGGCAGUGGCUUUCCUGAGGCAGCAGCCUUCGUGGCAAGAACUAGCGUGAGCCCAGCCAGGCGCCUCCCCACUGGGCUCUCAGGACGCCCUGCCACACCCCACGGGGCUUGGGCGACUACAGGGUCUUCAGGCCCCAGCCCUGGAGCUGCAGGAGUUGGGAACGGGGCUUUUGUUUCCGUUGCUGUUUAUCGAUGCUGGUUUUCAGAAUUCCUGUGUGGCCCUCUUGUCUGGAGUGACAUCUUCACCUGCUCUGAAUACUGGUGCCCAGCCAGCCCGUGACAGCUUCCCCCUAAUCAGGAGGAGGGGACAGCUGGGGGCGCAAGCUGGUGUGUCGUCAGCAAAGACCUCAGCCGCCUCGGGGAUGAGAGGGGACUCGUGGGGCCAGCAGGCCGCCCUGUGCUCUGAGUGAGGGGGAAAGUAGCCCCUUUUUCCAAAGAUAACUCACAGUUUUGCCCUCGAGCCAAUGAGAACGUGAGCUGCCCUGUGUGCAAGGUUUCGGGGCCACCUCCAGGCUGCAGGGACAGGGGUCACUCACCCCCCCUGGGUUUUCUCUCUGCCUUGGUGUCCUGGUUUCAGACUCCCUGCUCCCUGUGCAGACCAGAGUGCCCCGGCCCCUCCCCAGCCUGAGUCUUCUCCUUGCUCUGUGGGGUGGGCCGAGGCUUGUCCUUGGUUCCUGCAGGGCUGGCCCCGGCUCGGUGGGGCGUCACCACCUCACUGGCCUUGCUGGAGGCACAGGGCUCUGCUGACCUGCAGUCAUCUGUGAGGCCCGUGGGGAUGGGAGGGGAGGAGGGUGGCCUGUUGGUUUCCCUCAGGGGGCAGGUGGCCUAGAGAGAGAGGGGCUCAGGAACUGGGAGCCUCGUGGGUGGGGCAGAUGCUCCGCGGCCUGGAGUGGCUCUGCGGGGGCAUUGGUGGGACCCCUGCUCAGGCCUUCUCUCUGGCUGCCAGCUGUGUUAAAAGACUCUUGGAAUCUGAGAACCCUGAGUCGCAGCGCCCUCGGGCCUGGGCCACACGCAGGCCUUGGUGGGACCACCCAGCCUGGUAUUGUCCACGGACAGCGUUGUUCACCCAGAGCCUUACUUGGGAGCCUCACUGAACGCCUGCUCUGGUUGAAGGUGCGGGGGGGCUUGGGACCUCCCUGGCUCAGCCCAGUGCGGCCCAGCGCUCCUCCCGCAGGCUCUGCCCCUGGGCUCUGGUGGUGCGGGGCCCUCUCAGGUUGAACUCGCCUCUUUUGCACUGGAAGGCCCUCCCUUUGGCCUGAGUACUUUUCGUGUUCACGCCUCAGUCCCAUGGACCCAGCCUUUGUCAGUGGCAGGUGCCUGAACAGAGGAUGGAUGGGGGGAUACAGGAGGGGGUCUUGUCUUCCCAGCCGCAGUCUAGGAAUGAUGCAGGGGAGUGGGCGCCUUCUCCAUAGUCUUUCCCCACCUGGAGCAGGGGCUUCCUCAGUGGCGAGGGGAGCUGCCUAUGAGUUGGACCGGGAGGCAGUGGCUUGGAGAGGCAGCUUUCCAGCCUUGGUGGGGAAGAAAGUGUCCAUUCUUUGCCUUCCUGGAGCUCCCAGCCAGAGCUGAGCUUAGGCACCCGGGUGGAGCCUGCAGUUGGGUCUGUACCCGAGACAGGCUGUCAGAGAUUCCAGAAGCCUCUCCUUCCCGCCCCCCUCCACCCCUGCCUUUCAGCGUUGUGGAUCCCCAGAGGUGGCCACCUGCCCGAUCCACCAUCCUGAGGCAGAGUGUUGAGCCUCAUACCUGUACCAGGUCCCUGGCCAGCUGGGCCCCUCCCAGGCACUGCCAGGAAGCCCCAGCUGCCCCUGGGGGGUGUGGUGGAAACGGCAGGAGGGUGCAGUCACUCUUGGGGCCCCAGUGGCGGGAGCGUGAAAGACCCAACGCCAACACCUGGUGCCUUCUGCAGCCAGCGCCCACCCGUCCGUGCCCGGACCCUUGGGAAUGCCCGCGGCUCCAGAGGAAAAAGCCCAGGGACGGGGCCUCCGUUGUGAGGGGUCGGCUUCUUGGGAGCUUUGUCGUUUCCGGCGCUGGCUGGCUGGCUGUAAAGCACUGAAGCCCCCCGGGCCGCCAACCCCUGAAAGCAGAACCCGGCCUCCCUGGCCGCAGCAGCCUUACCCACCGCUCCACGUGUCCCGGGCACUUCCUGCAGCCUUCCCGUCCCUUUCUCAUCGGCCUUGUGGUUGUACAGUGCUGUUGGUUUGAAAAGGUGACGCGUGGGGAGUGUGGCUCAUCACUGAGUAGGGAGGUAGAGUUUCUAUUUAACCAGACCUGUAGUAGUAUUACCAAUCCAGUUCAAUUAAGGUGAUUUUUUGUAAUUAUUAUUAUUUUGGUGGGACAAUCUUUAAUUUUCUAAAGAUAGCACUAACAUCAGCUCAUUAGCCACCUGUGCCUGUCCCCGCCUUGGCCAGGCUGGAUGAAGCGGCUUCCCUGCAGGGCGCCCCCCUUCCCAGCGGCUGCUUCCUGGGGCCCCGGGGCACCCCGGCACCUUCAGGCACGCUCCUCAGCUGGUCACCUCCCGGCUUUGCCGUUCAGAUGGGGCUUCUGAGGCUCAGGAGUGAAGAUGCCACAGAGCCGGGCUCCGCUAGGCAGCGUCGGGCAUGCUUGGAAGCUGUCCUGCCAGGACCUUCCACCCUGGGGCCUGUGUCAGCCGCCGGCCCUCCGCACCCUGGAAGCACACGGCCUCUGGGAAGGACAGCCCUGACCUUCGGUUUUCCAAGCACGGUGUUUCCCAAGAAUUCUGGGCUGGCGGCCUGGUGGCAGUGCUGGAGAUGACCCUGAGCCCCUCCCCGUGGGGCACCCAGGAGGGCCCUGCCGGAAUGUGCAGCCUGUGGGUAGUCGGCUGGUGUCCCUGUCAUGGAGCUGGGGUGUGUGAUCUGGUGCUCAUCCACGCAGGUGUGUGGUGUAAACAUGUAUGUGCUGUACAGAGAGACGCGUGUGGAGAGAGCUGCACACCAGCGCCACGCAGGAGAGGCGGAGCGGUUACCAGUGUUUUGUGUUUAUUUUUAAUCAAGACAUUUCCCCUGUUUUCCUAUAAAUUUGCUUCAUGUAAGCAAGUACAUAAGGACCCUCCUUUGGUGAAAUCCGGGUUCAAAUGAAUAUCUCAAGGCAGGAGAUGCAUCUAUUUUAAGAUGCUUUGGAGCAGACAGCUUUAGCCAUUCCCAAUCCUUAGCAAUGCCUUAGCUGGGACGCAUAGCUAAUACUUUAGAGAGGAUGACAGAUCCAUAAAGAGAGUAAAGAUAAGAGAAAAUGUCUAAAGCAUCUGGAAAGGUAAAAAAAAAAAAUCUAUUUUUGUACAAAUGUAAUUUUAUCCCUCAUGUAUACUUGGAUAUGGCGGGGGGAGGGCUGGGACUGUUUUGUUUCUGCUUCUAGAGAUUGAGGUAAAAGCUUCGUCCGAGAAACGCCAGGACAGACGAUGGCAGAGGAGAGGGCUCCUGCGACGGCGGCGAGGCUUGGGAGGAAACCGCCGCAAUGGGGGUGUCUUCCUUCGGGGCAGGAGGGUGGGCCUGAGGCUUUCAAGGGUUUUCUUCCCCUUUCGAGUAAUUUUUAAAGCCUUGCUCUGUUGUGUCCUGUUGCCGGCCGGCCUUCCUGUGACUGACUGUGAAGUGGCUUCCCCGUACGAUUGUCUCGGAAACAUCGUGGCCGCAGGUGCCAGGGUUUGAUGGACAGUGGCAUUAGAAUUGUGGAAAAGGAACACGCAAAAGGAGAAAUGUGAGAGGAGAAACAAAAUAUGAGCGUUUAAAAUACAUCGCCAUUCAGUUCGUU